RNAcentral lists this ribosomal RNA (825 nucleotides) under uncultured bacterium. RNAcentral's name for it is "bacterial SSU rRNA". It matches the Rfam family "Bacterial small subunit ribosomal RNA", at positions 8 to 808 of the family's 1533-position model. The record is from RNAcentral.
AGAGUUUGAUCCUGGCUCAGAACGAACGCUGGCGGCGUGCCUAACACAUGCAAGUCGUACGAGAAAAUCCGCUUCGGCGGGUGAGUAAAGUGGCGCACGGGUGAGUAACGCGUGGAUAAUCUGCCUUUAAGCGGGGAAUAACUUACCGAAAGGUGGGCUAAUACCCCAUAAAGCUAUGGAGCUCCGGUUUUCAUAGCCAAAGAGAGCCUCUGCAUGCAAGCCCUCACUUAGAGAUGAGUCCGCGUACCAUUAGCUAGUUGGUGGGGUAAUGGCCUACCAAGGCGACGAUGGUUAGCUGGUCUGAGAGGAUGAUCAGCCACUCUGGAACUGAGACACGGUCCAGACUCCUACGGGAGGCAGCAGUGAGGAAUAUUGCGCAAUGGGGGCAACCCUGACGCAGCAACGCCGCGUGAGUGAGGAAGGUUUUCGGAUCGUAAAGCUCUGUCGGGUGGGAAGAAAUGUAUGGAGGUUAACAGCCUUUGUACUUGACGGUACCGCCAAAGGAAGCACCGGCUAACUCCGUGCCAGCAGCCGCGGUAAUACGGGGGGUGCUAGCGUUGUUCGGAAUCAUUGGGCGUAAAGAGCGUGUAGGCGGCUAGGCAAGUCAGAUGUGAAAUCCCUGGGCUUAACCCAGGACGUGCAUUUGAAACUGCUUGGCUUGAGUAGGGAAGAGGGGAGUGGAAUUCCUGGUGUAGAGGUGAAAUUCGUAGAUAUCAGGAGGAACACCGGUGGCGAAGGCGACUUCCUGGUCCUAUACUGACGCUGAGACGCGAGAGCGUGGGGAGCAAACAGGAUUAGAUACCCUGGUAGUCCACGCCGUAAACG